UUGUAUACUUGGCAUAUCUGUGCCAAACAACCAACAACUGUGUGAACCAUACCUUUGACUGUUGUUGUCGAGGAACGGACUUGGUAGAAGGCGGAGUGAAGCUCUGCUCUCGUUUUCGGGUGCAGUGCGGUAGCUUGCGCGCUACCAUUGUCUGUCGACAUCAGCUACUUGCCACGUACUCUGUAACAACCGUGAAUACUUAACAAUUUCUAUAAACCAAAUA
Molecule: unclassified non-coding RNA, 223 nt
Filed under: uncultured fungus
Lineage: Eukaryota; Fungi
Description: sequence contains ITS1
Source: RNAcentral